AGUUUCCGGGACUUCGUACUGUAUGACAGACUAUAUAUACAAUACGAAGCCUCUGAAAUUUU
This 62-nucleotide microRNA precursor is filed under the name Drosophila yakuba. RNAcentral describes it as "Dya-Mir-9690_pre stem-loop". Lineage: Eukaryota; Metazoa; Arthropoda; Insecta; Diptera; Drosophilidae. The record is from RNAcentral.